GACGAACGCUGGCGGCGUGCCUAAUACAUGCAAGUAGAACGCUGAAGGAGGAGCUUGCUUCUCUGGAUGAGUUGCGAACGGGUGAGUAACGCGUAGGUAACCUGCCUGGUAGCGGGGGAUAACUAUUGGAAACGAUAGCUAAUACCGCAUAAUAGCAGUUGUUGCAUGACAACUGUUUGAAAGGUGCAAUUGCACCACUACCAGAUGGACCUGCGUUGUAUUAGCUAGUUGGUGGGGUAACGGCUCACCAAGGCGAUGAUACAUAGCCGACCUGAGAGGAUGAUCGGCCACACUGGGACUGAGACACGGCCCAGACUCCUACGGGAGGCAGCAGUAGGGAAUCUUCGGCAAUGGACGGAAGUCUGACCGAGCAACGCCGCGUGAGUGAAGACGGUUUUCGGGUCGUAAAGCUCUGUUGUAAGGGAAGAAAGAGUGUGAGGGUGGAAAGUUCACGCUGUGACGGUAUCGUACCAGAAAGGCACGGCUAACUACGUG
This 495-nucleotide ribosomal RNA is filed under the name uncultured bacterium. RNAcentral describes it as "partial 16S ribosomal RNA". It matches the Rfam family "Bacterial small subunit ribosomal RNA", at positions 28 to 507 of the family's 1533-position model. The record is from RNAcentral.